GGGGAAUUAGCUCAGUUGGUAGAGCACCGGCUUUGCAAGCCGGGGGUCACGGGUCCGAGUCCCGUAUUCUCCACCA
This 76-nucleotide transfer RNA is filed under the name Clostridia bacterium. RNAcentral describes it as "tRNA-Ala". It matches the Rfam family "tRNA". Rfam says of the family: Transfer RNA (tRNA) molecules are approximately 80 nucleotides in length. Their secondary structure includes four short double-helical elements and three loops (D, anti-codon, and T loops). Lineage: Bacteria; Bacillati; Bacillota; Clostridia. The record is from RNAcentral.